GCGCCUUACACCACUCGGCCAUCCUGACCUUAUUGUCAUUAUUUCUGUGAGUAAUAUAUUUGAAUUAACAAUCAACAGAAAAGUAUGUUGGAGACAAAACUUGAAAAAAAUUCUUGGAGAAUAUCAAAAAAUGUACCACAAACAAAUGGAUCUGGAAGCUACCGUUUCCACCAAGAAUUAUCGACUUCCUAUGGGUAACUUGUCAUCAGUGUCUCCCCACGGUGUCAUAUCUGCAUCGAAUUGGCAUAUCCACAUCUGUUGUUUGCUUCCAGUUCAAUAACACAGGUGAAAUUAUACCACAUCUCCUGCUUUUCUGCCCAACCUCUAUUCCAUUUUGGCCUUCAUCCUCUUGUAUUGUCCAUAUAUGCUCAUAAUACAUUGUCUCUCACUUGGAUACCUUCUCUGAUACGUUCUAUUUCAUCCAUGACAUUCCCUCAUGUUCCUCCUUCUAUGAUGCUUGACUUUGGAUUUUGGUCAUUACGGGAAAAUUGAUAUAAUAAUUUCUAUAAUAAUAAUUUCAACAUUUCUUAUCACAAAGCGAUUAUCGUACGAAUAAUAGAAUUUUACAUCAAUAAAUUCAUAUAUGCAUUACUUGUAGAAGAAAAAACCUUAGAUUUGCAUCACUCCAAGCUUGAAAUUUAGAUUUUAUCAAUUAAAUUAGCUUGAAAUAGAGAUUUCCUACAUGGAUAUUGUCUUUGUUUCUUCUUUGAUGAGCGACUAAAUUCUUAGCUAGGGGUGUGUGUUCUAGAUGGGGG
This 755-nucleotide long non-coding RNA is filed under the name Solanum tuberosum (potato). Its description in RNAcentral is "long non-coding RNA (STUB_LNC003560)". The record is from RNAcentral. Lineage: Eukaryota; Viridiplantae; Streptophyta; Magnoliopsida; Solanales; Solanaceae.